Molecule: ribosomal RNA, 496 nt
Filed under: uncultured bacterium
Lineage: Bacteria
Description: partial 16S ribosomal RNA
Rfam family: Bacterial small subunit ribosomal RNA
Source: RNAcentral
AUGAACGCUGGCGGCGUGCCUAAUACAUGCCAGUCGCGCGAACAGAUAAGGAGCUUGCUCCUUUGACGUUAGCGGCGGACGGGUGAGUAACACGUGGGUAACCUACCUAUAAGACUGGGAUAACUUCGGGAAACCGGAGCUAAUACCGGAUAACAUUUGGAACCGCAUGGUUCUAAAGUGAAAGAUGGUUUUGCUAUCACUUAUAGAUGGACCCGCGCCGUAUUAGCUAGUUGGUAAGGUAACGGCUUACCAAGGCAACGAUACGUAGCCGACCUGAGAGGGUGAUCGGCCACACUGGAACUGAGACACGGUCCAGACUCCUACGGGAGGCAGCAGUAGGGAAUCUUCCGCAAUGGGCGAAAGCCUGACGGAGCAACGCCGCGUGAGUGAUGAAGGGUUUCGGCUCGUAAAACUCUGUUAUUAGGGAAGAACAAACGUGUAAGUAACUGUGCACGUCUUGACGGUACCUAAUCAGAAAGCCACGGCUAACUACGUG